GUCCAUUAGCCAUGUCGUUUUGGCUAUAUAAACCACCCUACUAGCCCCCCCUUCCACACAAACUUCCCCCUGAAGAAGCCUUGCGUGAAACGUGCGUCGGGGUUGCUGGAGCACUAUACAGGAUGAUGGGAUAUUUCCCUAACAAAAUCUUGGCGCCCAACGUGGGGCUCAACUAAAGGACACUUCAUCUGGUCUCCGACAAAUUGGAUGUUCCGGUCCGGGAUUUGCAGAUAUAAGAAAUAGCGCUAAAAGAUUUUUUUUUGCUGAAGGUCGGUCGUCUGUCCUCCUGCCUCCCGGAGAAUUCAGGAUAUAAGAUGACUUCAGAUGCUGUCGCCAUUGAGCUCGAGCUGUUUUCUGUUUGUGGGUUGCCAAGGUGAUUUUGGUUCUACUAAUAACUACUGCCUAAAAAAUAAUAAAAAUGCCUAUCAA
Long non-coding RNA from Bufo gargarizans (Asiatic toad), 429 nucleotides. RefSeq lists it as uncharacterized. The transcript is spliced from 3 exons. NCBI's taxonomy places the organism in Eukaryota, Metazoa, Chordata, Amphibia, Anura, Bufonidae. The record is from RefSeq and is a predicted model, not a curated record.